AGUGAACGCUGGCGGCAGGCCUAACACAUGCAAGUCGAACGGCAGCACAAGAGAGCUUGCUCUCUGGGUGGCGAGUGGCGACCGGGUGAGGAAUGCAUCGGAAUCUGCCCAUUUGUGGGGGAUAACCUCGGGAAACCGGGACUAAUACCGCAUACGACCUACGGGUGAAAGCAGGGGAUCUUCGGACCUUGCGCAGAUGGAUGAGCCGAUGCCGGAUUAGCUAGUUGGAGGGGUAAAGGCCCACCAAGGCGACGAUCCGUAGCUGGUCUGAGAGGAUGAUCAGCCACACUGGGACUGAGACACGGCCCAGACUCCUACGGGAGGCAGCAGUGGGGAAUAUUGGACAAUGGGCGCAAGCCUGAUCCAGCCAUGCCGCGUGUGUGAAGAAGGCCUUCGGGUUGUAAAGCACUUUUGUUGGGAAAGAAAAGCAGCCGGUCAAUACCCGGUUGUCAUGACGGUACCCAAAGAAUAAGCACCGGCUAACUUCGUG
Molecule: ribosomal RNA, 490 nt
Filed under: uncultured bacterium
Lineage: Bacteria
Description: partial 16S ribosomal RNA
Rfam family: Bacterial small subunit ribosomal RNA
Source: RNAcentral